This 214-nucleotide long non-coding RNA is filed under the name Capsicum annuum. Its description in RNAcentral is "long non-coding RNA (CANN_LNC015555)". Lineage: Eukaryota; Viridiplantae; Streptophyta; Magnoliopsida; Solanales; Solanaceae. The record is from RNAcentral.
AUCUCUAAUCACCCUUAAAUCUGUCGGAGGGAUCCAACAGAUUUAUACAGUUUGAGAAGUGUGAUUGAUCUUGGGUUUACUGAUGAUGAUUUGGUACUCCAUGACCAAAUAAAUGAUGUCACUCAUGUUGAUAUCUUCCUUCUUGUUAUUAAAAAGAUUAUUGUUUCUAGUUAACCAUAUAUCCCAGAAGUAAAAAGUUUAUAUGGCAUCCCAG